RNAcentral lists this ribosomal RNA (1932 nucleotides) under Acinetobacter radioresistens. Its description in RNAcentral is "partial 23S ribosomal RNA". It matches the Rfam family "Bacterial large subunit ribosomal RNA", at positions 898 to 2817 of the family's 2925-position model. The record is from RNAcentral. Lineage: Bacteria; Pseudomonadati; Pseudomonadota; Gammaproteobacteria; Moraxellales; Moraxellaceae.
GGGGGUAGAGCACUGUUUCGGCUAGGGGGUCAUCCCGACUUACCAAACCGAUGCAAACUCCGAAUACCAAUGAGUACUAUCCGGGAGACAGACUGCGGGUGCUAACGUCCGUAGUCAAGAGGAAAACAAUCCAGACCGCCAGCUAAGGCCCCAAAAUCAUAGUUAAGUGGGAAACGAUGUGGGAAGGCAUAGACAGCUAGGAGGUUGGCUUAGAAGCAGCCACCCUUUAAAGAAAGCGUAAUAGCUCACUAGUCGAGUCGGCCUGCGCGGAAGAUGUAACGGGGCUAAAACUAUGUGCCGAAGCUGCGGAUGCACAUUUAUGUGCGUGGUAGGGGAGCGUUCUGUAAGCCGAUGAAGGUGGAUUGAGAAGUCUGCUGGAGGUAUCAGAAGUGCGAAUGCUGACGUGAGUAACGACAAAACGGGUGAAAAACCCGUUCGCCGAAAGACCAAGGGUUCCAGUCCAACGUUAAUCGGGGCUGGGUGAGUCGACCCCUAAGGCGAGGCCGAAAGGCGUAGUCGAUGGGAAAUUGGUUAAUAUUCCAAUACUUCUGUGUAAUGCGAUGAGAGGACGGAGAAGGUUAGGUCAGCCUGGCGUUGGUUGUCCAGGUGGAAGACAGUAGGCAUGCAUCUUAGGCAAAUCCGGGGUGCUCUAUGCUGAGAGUCGAUAGCAAGCCAGUUUACUGGCGAAGUGGCCGAUACCAUACUUCCAAGAAAAGUCUCUAAGCUUCAGUUACACAGGAAUCGUACCCGAAACCGACACAGGUGGUCAGGUCGAGUAGACCAAGGCGCUUGAGAGAACUCUGCUGAAGGAACUAGGCAAAAUGGUACCGUAACUUCGGGAGAAGGUACGCUGCUGAUGGUGAUAGGACUUGCUCCUUGAGCUGUCGGCAGCCGCAGAAACCAGGCCGCUGCAACUGUUUAUUAAAAACAUAGCACUCUGCAAACACGAAAGUGGACGUAUAGGGUGUGAUGCCUGCCCGGUGCUGGAAGGUUAAUUGAUGGGGUUAGCGUAAGCGAAGCUCUUGAUCGAAGCCCCAGUAAACGGCGGCCGUAACUAUAACGGUCCUAAGGUAGCGAAAUUCCUUGUCGGGUAAGUUCCGACCUGCACGAAUGGCAUAAUGAUGGCGGCGCUGUCUCCAGCAGAGGCUCAGUGAAAUCGAAAUCGCUGUGAAGAUGCAGUGUACCCGCGGCUAGACGGAAAGACCCCGUGAACCUUUACUGCAGCUUGACACUGAACUUUGACCUUACUUGUGUAGGAUAGGUGGGAGGCUUUGAAGCUGGAACGCUAGUUCCAGUGGAGCCGUCCUUGAAAUACCACCCUGGUAAUGUUGAGGUUCUAACUCUGUCCCGUGAUCCGGGACGAGGACCGUGUCUGGUGGGUAGUUUGACUGGGGCGGUCUCCUCCUAAAGAGUAACGGAGGAGUACGAAGGUGCGCUCAGCGUGGUCGGAAAUCACGCGUAGAGUAUAAAGGCAAAAGCGCGCUUAACUGCGAGACCCACAAGUCGAGCAGGUACGAAAGUAGGUCUUAGUGAUCCGGUGGUUCUGUAUGGAAGGGCCAUCGCUCAACGGAUAAAAGGUACUCUGGGGAUAACAGGCUGAUACCGCCCAAGAGUUCAUAUCGACGGCGGUGUUUGGCACCUCGAUGUCGGCUCAUCUCAUCCUGGGGCUGAAGCAGGUCCCAAGGGUAUGGCUGUUCGCCAUUUAAAGAGGUACGCGAGCUGGGUUUAGAACGUCGUGAGACAGUUCGGUCCCUAUCUACCGUGGGCGCUGGAAAUUUGAGAGGAUCUGCUCCUAGUACGAGAGGACCAGAGUGGACGAACCUCUGGUGUACCGGUUGUGACGCCAGUCGCAUCGCCGGGUAGCUAUGUUCGGAAGGGAUAACCGCUGAAAGCAUCUAAGCGGGAAGCCUACCUCAAGAUAAGAUUUCCCUG